UCCCAUAGGGUCUAGCGGUUAGGAUUCCCGGUUUUCACCCAGGCGGCCCGGGUUCGACUCCCGGUAUGGGAA
RNAcentral lists this transfer RNA (72 nucleotides) under Ornithorhynchus anatinus (platypus). Its description in RNAcentral is "tRNA-Glu (TTC) (tRNA-Glu-TTC-10-1, tRNA-Glu-TTC-10-2)". It matches the Rfam family "tRNA". From Rfam's summary of the family: Transfer RNA (tRNA) molecules are approximately 80 nucleotides in length. The record is from Rfam by way of RNAcentral. Lineage: Eukaryota; Metazoa; Chordata; Mammalia; Monotremata; Ornithorhynchidae.